RNAcentral lists this unclassified non-coding RNA (214 nucleotides) under Candida albicans. Its description in RNAcentral is "partial internal transcribed spacer region". The stretch from base 1 to 46 matches the Rfam family "Eukaryotic small subunit ribosomal RNA", at positions 1786 to 1831 of the family's 1831-position model. Lineage: Eukaryota; Fungi; Ascomycota; Pichiomycetes; Serinales; Debaryomycetaceae. The record is from RNAcentral.
AAGUCGUAACAAGGUUUCCGUAGGUGAACCUGCGGAAGGAUCAUUACUGAUUUGCUUAAUUGCACCACAUGUGUUUUUCUUUGAAACAAACUUGCUUUGGCGGUGGGCCCAGCCUGCCGCCAGAGGUCUAAACUUGCAACCAAUUUUUUAUCAACUUGUCACACCAGAUUAUUACUAAUAGUCAAAACUUUCAACAACGGAUCUCUUGGUUCUC